Molecule: ribosomal RNA, 397 nt
Filed under: uncultured bacterium
Lineage: Bacteria
Description: partial 16S ribosomal RNA
Rfam family: Bacterial small subunit ribosomal RNA
Source: RNAcentral
AUACGUAGGUGACAAGCGUUAUCCGGAUUUACUGGGCGUAAAGGGCGUGUAGGCGGUCUUGCAAGUCAGAAGUGAAAUUCCUGAGCUCAACUCGGGCGCUGCUUCUGAAACUGCAGGCCUUGAGUGCUGGAGGGGAUAGCGGAAUUCCUAGUGGAGCGGUAAAAUGCGCAGAUAUUAGGAAGAACACCGGUGGCGAAGGCGGCUAUCUGGACAGUAACUGGCGCUGAGGCGCGAACGCCUGGGGAGCAAACAGGAUUAGAUCCCCUGGUAGUCCACGCCAUAAACGAUGAAUACGAGGUGGAGGGGGUAUCGACUCCCUCUGCGCCGCAGUUAACACAAUAAGUAUUCCGCCUGGGGAGUACGGCCGCAAGGUUGAAGCUCAAAUGAAUUGACGGGG